UUGGAGGGCAAGUCUGGUGCCAGCAGCCGCGGUAAUUCCAGCUCCAAUAGCGUAUAUUUAAGUUGUUGCAGUUAAAAAGCUCGUAGUUGGACUUUGGGUUGGGUCGGCCGGUCCGCCUUAUGGUGUGCACCGGUUUACUCGUCCCUUCUGUCGGCGAUGCGUUCCUAGCCUUAAUUGGUCGGGUCGUGCCUCCGGCGCUGUUACUUUGAAGAAAUUAGAGUGUUUAAAGCAGGCGCACGCUUGAAUACAUUAGCAUGGAAUAAUGAAAUAGGACGUUUGAUUCUAUUUUGUUGGUUUCUAGGAUCGACGUAAUGAUUAAUAGGGAUAGUUGGGGGCAUUAGUAUUCAAUUGUCAGAGGUGAAAUUCUUGGAUUUAUUGAAGACUAACUACCGCGAAAGCAUUUGCCAAGGAUGUUUUCAUUAAUCAAGAACGAAAGUUAGGGGAUCGAAGACGAUCAGAUACCGUCGUAGUCUUAACCAUAAACUAUGCCGACUGGGGAUCGGAUGAUGUUAAUUUUUUAAUGACUCAUUCGGCGCCUUACGGGAAAC
This 548-nucleotide ribosomal RNA is filed under the name uncultured Glomeromycotina. RNAcentral describes it as "bacterial SSU rRNA". It matches the Rfam family "Eukaryotic small subunit ribosomal RNA", at positions 548 to 1098 of the family's 1831-position model. Lineage: Eukaryota; Fungi; Glomeromycota. The record is from RNAcentral.